This 1343-nucleotide ribosomal RNA is filed under the name uncultured bacterium. RNAcentral's name for it is "16S ribosomal RNA". It matches the Rfam family "Bacterial small subunit ribosomal RNA", at positions 28 to 1378 of the family's 1533-position model. The record is from RNAcentral.
GACGAACGCUGGCGGCGUGCUUAACACAUGCAAGUCGAACGGAAAGGCCCUGCUUUUGUGGGGUGCUCGAGUGGCGAACGGGUGAGUAACACGUGAGUAACCUGCCCUUGACUUUGGGAUAACUUCAGGAAACUGGGGCUAAUACCGGAUAGGAGCACCUGCUGCAUGGUGGGGGUUGGAAAGUUUCGGCGGUUGGGGAUGGACUCGCGGCUUAUCAGCUUGUUGGUGGGGUAGUGGCUUACCAAGGCUUUGACGGGUAGCCGGCCUGAGAGGGUGACCGGCCACAUUGGGACUGAGAUACGGCCCAGACUCCUACGGGAGGCAGCAGUGGGGAAUAUUGCACAAUGGGCGGAAGCCUGAUGCAGCAACGCCGCGUGCGGGAUGUCGGCCUUCGGGUUGUAAACCGCUUUCGCCUGUGACGAAGCGUGAGUGACGGUAAUGGGUAAAGAAGCACCGGCUAACUACGUGCCAGCAGCCGCGGUGAUACGUAGGGUGCGAGCGUUGUCCGGAUUUAUUGGGCGUAAAGGGCUCGUAGGUGGUUGAUCGCGUCGGAAGUGUAAUCUUGGGGCUUAACCCUGAGCGUGCUUUCGAUACGGGUUGACUUGAGGAAGGUAGGGGAGAAUGGAAUUCCUGGUGGAGCGGUGGAAUGCGCAGAUAUCAGGAGGAACACCAGUGGCGAAGGCGGUUCUCUGGGCCUUUCCUGACGCUGAGGAGCGAAAGCGUGGGGAGCGAACAGGCUUAGAUACCCUGGUAGUCCACGCUGUAAACGGUGGGUACUAGGUGUGGGGUCCAUUCCACGGGUUCCGUGCCGUAGCUAACGCUUUAAGUACCCCGCCUGGGGAGUACGGCCGCAAGGCUAAAACUCAAAGGAAUUGACGGGGCCCCGCACAAGCGGCGGAGCAUGCGGAUUAAUUCGAUGCAACGCGUAGAACCUUACCUGGGUUUGACAUGGAUCGGGAGUGCUCAGAGAUGGGUGUGCCUCUUUUGGGGUCGGUUCACAGGUGGUGCAUGCCUGUCGUCAGCUCGUGUCGUGAGAUGUUGGGUUAAGUCCCGCAACGAGCGCAACCCUUGUUCACUGUUGCCAGCACGUUAUGGUGGGGACUCAGUGGAGACCGCCGGGGUCAACUCGGAGGAAGGUGGGGAUGACGUCAAGUCCUCAUGCCCCUUAUGUCCAGGGCUUCACGCAUGCUACAAUGGCUGGUACAGAGAGUGGCGAGCCUGUGAGGGUGAGCGAAUCUCGGAAAGCCGGUCUCAGUUCGGAUUGGGGUCUGCAACUCGACCUCAUGAAGUCGGAGUCGCUAGUAAUCGCAGAUCAGCAACGCUGCGGUGAAUACGUUCCCGGG